CAAUAGCGUAUAUUAAAGUUGUUGCAGUCAAAAAGCUCGUAGUUGGAUUUCGGGGCAGCCUGGCUGGUCCGCCGCAAGGCGAGUACUGGUCAGCCGCCCUUCCUCUCGAAAGCCCCGACUGCUCUUCAUUGCAGUGGUCGGGUAGUUCGGGACGUUUACUUUGAAAAAAUUAGAGUGUUCAAGGCAGGCCUACGCCUGAAUACAUUAGCAUGGAAUAAUGGAAGAGGACCUCGGUCCUAUUUUGUUGGUUUCCAGGGCCGAAGUAAUGAUUAAGAGGGACAGUUGGGGGCAUUCGUAUUUAAUUGUCAGAGGUGAAAUUCUCGGAUUUAUGAAAGACGAACAACUGCGAAAGCAUUUGCCAAGGAUGUUUUCAUUAA
This 377-nucleotide ribosomal RNA is filed under the name uncultured eukaryote. RNAcentral describes it as "partial 18S ribosomal RNA". It matches the Rfam family "Eukaryotic small subunit ribosomal RNA", at positions 592 to 976 of the family's 1831-position model. The record is from RNAcentral.